UCCGAAAUGGUCUAGUGGCUAGGAUUUGUCGCUCUCAUCAAUUCAAUUGAAUGUAGUGCCGACAAGGCCGGGGUUCAAUUCCCCGUUUCGGAA
Non-coding RNA from Periconia digitata, 93 nucleotides. NCBI's taxonomy places the organism in Eukaryota, Fungi, Ascomycota, Dothideomycetes, Pleosporales, Periconiaceae. The record is from the annotation of a GenBank genome assembly.